GGGGGGGGGGGGGGGGGGGGGGGGGGGGGGGGGGGCGGGGGGGGGGGGGCAGGGGGCGGGGGGGAGGAGGGGCGAACGGGUGAGUAACACGUGAGUAACCUGCCCUUAACUCUGGGAUAAGCCUGGGAAACUGGGUCUAAUACCGGAUAGGAGCGUCCACCGCAUGGUGGGUGUGGGACAGAUUUAUCGGUUUUGGAUGGACUCGCGGCCUAUCAGCUUGUUGGUGAGGUAAUGGCUCACCAAGGCGACGACGGGUAGCCGGCCUGAGAGGGUGACCGGCCACACUGGGACUGAGACACGGCCCAGACUCCUACGGGAGGCAGCAGUGGGGAAUAUUGCACAAUGGGCGCAAGCCUGAUGCAGCGACGCCGCGUGAGGGAUGACGGCCUUCGGGUUGUAAACCUCUUUCAGUAGGGAAGAAGCGAAAGUGACGGUACCUGCAGAAGAAGCACCGGCUAACUACGUG
RNAcentral lists this ribosomal RNA (466 nucleotides) under uncultured bacterium. RNAcentral's name for it is "partial 16S ribosomal RNA". The stretch from base 56 to 466 matches the Rfam family "Bacterial small subunit ribosomal RNA", at positions 39 to 507 of the family's 1533-position model. The record is from RNAcentral.